UUCAUAUGUACGGAAAUGGAUAACCUAAACAAUAAAAUCUAUGAUUUCAGUUAUCAAAAAUGGCUCUAAUAGUAAAAAAUAUGCCUUAGUGUUUAAAAACUAGGGUAUGUCCCUUUAAUAUAUAGAAAUAAUCAAACUAAUCGACCCUGAGCAAGUUUUAACGACUUAUUAAUCUAUAGAAAUAAUCAAACUAAUCGACCCUGAGCAAGUUUUAACGACUUAUUAAUCUAUAGAAAUAAUCAAACUAAUCGACCCUGAGCAAGUUUUAACGACUUAUUAAUCUAUAGAAAUAAUCAAACUAAUCGACCCUGAGCAAGUUUUAACGACUUAUUAAUCUAUAGAAAUAAUAAAACUAAUUGACCCUGAGUAUGUUUUAACGACUUAUUAAUCUAUAGAAAUAAUAAAACUAAUCGACCCUGAGCAAGUUUUAACGACUUAUUAAUGUAUAGAAAUAAUAAAAAUAAUCGACCCUGAGCAAGUUUUAACGACUUAUUUGAAUGUCAAAGUAUACUUUUGUUACAUUAAUAAACAUUAAUAAAGUUAUUAAGUACUUGCACUGUAACAUACUGUAAUAUGUAUGUCUAUUAUGACAUGGUAUAGUACUUUGUAUAUUGGAUACUGCAUGUUUAUCAUAUUCACACUUUUGUCAGUUCUGCUGUCAAAACACAACUUCACUUGUAUUAAUAUUCUUAUUUAUAGCAGCUGGAUAACAGUUAAUUUAGUUUUAUGGCGGAAAUGAGUGCAUUAAUGUCGACAAUCCUGAGCACAAUUCUAAACAGUAAGUCAUAACAUUACUGUCUCAAAUGUAAUUAUAUUCCAUUGUGAUAAAUAGUUUACAGUAGCUAGCUUAAAUACAUUUAAUUUAACAUCAUGAUAUAUACUACAUUCUAACCAGUUAUAUUAUAUAGACAAAUUUGUACUAACCCUGGAUAGUGUUUGAUAAAUAGAAAGACCAAAAAUCAAAAGGUUCAUCUGUAUUAGUUUUUUCUAGGGCUUCUGUGGGGGUUUUGUUUAUUUUUUUUUUUUUUUUUUUUUUUCUGUUGUUUUUUUGGAGGCUUGUGAGGUUUAUGUUUGUUUCUUCCGAGGUUUUUUGUUGAAUUUUUUUUUCUCUUGUUUUGUUUUGUUUUUUUAGGCUUGUGGUAUUUUUUUAAUUUCCGAAAACCACCAUUUUAAAAACCCAUUAUUGUAUGUAUCAGGUUUUAAUCAUAAGACAAAUCUUACAUUCCUUAUUCUAAAGUCUAUAUUUGCUAUUAUUCAGAUCUUUGAGUAUAAAAUGUGUUAGUAGUGUAUAUUUCAGUUACUAUCUGAUAGUCGGCGUAAAACCAUAAAUUUGUAAAACACUUAAAUAUGUGAUGUACAUGUAAAGUCAGUAUGGUUAAUUGUCUAUGUUUCGUUUUUUUCUUAAACUUAAUACAAUUGAAUCCUAUUGGCUCGAACCCCAUCGGUGCUCGAAAAAGUGUUUGACCCAUCGGGUAGUACGACCUAACCAUUCGGUCAGUAACGUGUAACUGUAACUCAGGACUUCAUUUUUGAUUCAAGAAUUGUGGUCUAUUGGACCCUUCAGAGUUUGACCCAACAAGAUUCUACUGUAUAUAUAUAUAAUAUGUAUUUACAAAUAGCUGUGAUAAAUUAUACGAUAAAUUAUACUUAACUGCAUCUAGUCACAAUAUUUACAAACAUACUGAUAGACCAAAAAAAGGGGUCUUACCAAUACCAAGAGUAAAUAAUGACGGGGAACCAAAACUUUCAUCAAUAGUGUCAGAGAGUCGGGCAGGUCAUUGGCAGUCAGUCCCGCAUUACAGACAUUCAGUUCUAAAUUAAACCUUUGUAUUUAACACAGACACUGUGAUGCUAAUAGUCAAUAACCAAAACUUUCAUCAAUAGCGUCAGAAAGUCUACCAGGUCACUGGCAGUCAGUCCCACAUUACAGACAUUCAGUUCUAAAUUACAUCUCUGUAUUUAACACAGACACUGUGAUGCUAAUAGUCGAUAACCAAAACUUUCAUCAAUAGCGUCAGAAAGUCUACCAGGUCACUGGCAGUCAGUCCCACAUUACAGACAUUCAGUUCUAAAUUACAUCUCUGUAUUUAACACAGACACUGUGAUGCUAAUAGUCGAUAACCAAAACUUUCAUCAAUAGCGUCAGAAAGUCUACCAGGUCACUGGCAGUCAGUCUAACAUUCAAUUACUUCAUUACACCUUAGUAUUUAAUACAAAUACUUUGAUGCUAAUAGUUAAUUAAAUUUGGUCUACAAUACAAGUUUUCCCUUAUUGCUUAGCAUUAAUAUUCUUUGGGUGGGGCUUUAACUUCUAUUUAUUAGUAUUCACAUUUGUCUACGUUCUUGUCCUGGACGAAGGAGCUGACACCUGCGUCCAGGACAGGCGUGCACUACAACUUGCUCUGAAUGUGCACGUUAAACCCCAUGACCUGACCUGACCUGUUUAUCUCUUGUAACGCUAUUAAUGGAUAACUUUAAUUACAAGAGAAAUCUUAAAGUACCAUCAUAAUAUCCAUGGCAUGUGAGUUAAUGGCUGAAGUUGGUGGAGUAUUCAAAAAUAUCCCAAAAUAUUUCAAACUAAUUAGGCUCUAUGAAAUUUUAAAAAAACAUUUUUUAAAAGAGUAGAGAAUCUGUCAUCUUAAUACAGACAUUUUGUUUUGUAGCUGCUAAUUAAUUCUGUUAGUAAAUCACUAAUACUUAAUUGAAAAUUAAUAAAGUGCUAACUGGAAUAAAUGUCUAUAACGAUUUGUAGUUUCAUGGCCAGUACAUGUGUAUUUGUCUUGUUGAAGCAAGACAAACUUUAUUUAUAGUUUUUUCCUGGAAAAUAGUCAGAGGUUUGAGCUGAAGUGAUAGUGAAAUAUUUAAUGUAUGCACAUAAUGUAUUGCGUGUAUCUGAUACCAAAUUGGUGCAAUUUGUACAAGUCUGAAUGUUUUAAAUGUAGAAAAAAAUUCCAAUGACCAAAUUAAAUAUGGUAUGAAGAUCAUAUCUGGAAAAUUUUUAUCCUAUUAAAAAAACAUUUUUUAAACUAAUGAUUAAGUAAUCAUUGGCUACUGGAUGUCAAAUAUUUAGUAAAUCGGACACAGUAUUUAGUUAAAAUUUGUUUCGUUUUAUGUCACCACUAAUACUUUGGCACUUUGGCUAACUAAUCUUUAACUAUUGGAUGUCGGAUGUUAAGUUUUCUGUAUUAUAAAACCUGUGUUAAUGUUAAGGAAAAACUACAUAUAAAUUUAAAAAACCACAACCCUAAAAAAAAAUUAAAUUAAAAAAAGGAUUAAAAAUUAUAUAAAUAUUUCUGAAUACAAAACCUGCAUGAAAUGUUUUCGUACAAAUUUCUGUGAAAGCAAAAUAGAUGUUAAUAUUUCUGUAUAUAUUAAUAUUUCUGUAUAUAUACAAAACCUUUGUUGGUAUACGGUGGUGAAUAGAGCUAUUUAAAUGAAAUGUUUUAUUACAGAUUUCUGUGAAAACAAAAUGGGUGUUAAUAUUUCUGCAUAUAUACAAAACCUUUGUUGGUUUACGGUAGUAAAUAGAGCUGUUUUAUUACAAAUUUCUGUGAAAACAAAAUUGCAGUAAUUAUUAACCAUUUAAUUUGUCUGUUGGUUUUUAAAUAACUUGUUCUGUUUGUUGUUUUCAACUUCUGCCAUGUGCAUUCCAUGUUCUGUAUCAGUGUUAAUUAUCGCCCAUUCCCACCAAGUUAUACAGACGAUAUGUUGUUUUUUCACUCUCUCCGUUAUUUGUUACCUUCAAUCAUGGUUGUGAAAACAGUCCUUAUUCCUAUGCAAAUCACAGGGUGAAAAGCUCUCUUGGUUAGCUGCUGUACUUGUCUAAUUAGAUUAAUAAACAAGUCGCAAUAUUUCUUGAGAAUCCACGUUCUGUUCUAUUUGUUAAUUAUGUAAAUUUAAAAUCGCACAAACUGCCAAUCGGUUGCGUGGUAAACCGUUGCAUGAUGAGAAAAUCAUUUCUUCAAGUAUCGAAGAAACUCUUCUUUAAUAAAAUACUAUUAAA
This is a long non-coding RNA of Gigantopelta aegis, 4002 nucleotides long. RefSeq lists it as uncharacterized. The record is from RefSeq and is a predicted model, not a curated record. NCBI's taxonomy places the organism in Eukaryota, Metazoa, Mollusca, Gastropoda, Neomphalida, Peltospiridae. The transcript has 2 exons.